AAUAUGUAUUAUAUUGUUUUUUUUAUUUCUUAUUAUAUCUCGAGGGCUUAAAACCAGAACUGUCUAUGUCCAUUUUUUGUGAAAUUGAGUUUAGUCUACCAAAGUACUGUAUAUUCAUUUCAGUUUGUGUGCCAGAACUGUCUAUUCCCAUGUAUGUCCAUUAGCCAUUUUACUUUUCAUGUCCAGACUGUUUCAAGUACUUUCAUGCAUUCAUUAAGAAUUGCGCAGUACUUGCAGUUUUCUACUAACUAAGCAGAUUAGAUUCCCUAUGCAGCUUCCACUGAUUGUGGCCAAGCAACACCAUAUCAUUGCCCGGAAAAAACGUAAUGAUGAAUAAAAAAGACCAAUGUGCAACAUGUACGAAGUAUGACCAGUUGUCGGGAGAACAGAAGGAGAAUUUCAUGGAAACCCAUCUCGUGCGAAAAACAGAGGCUUAAGGUUCCAAAGCAGUACCCUUGCAUCGUGUAAGACAGGAAAUCAUUGUGAAUAAGAUGGAGCGCAAAAGAGGACAAGCUUACAACAAGAAAUAUGCUGAUGACUUUGACUUGACUUUGACUUCAUUGCAUCAUCAGGAAAGAGCAAACAUCAUGCAACUUGCAAGGUAUGUCGCCGAGAUUUGUCAAUUUUGCAUGGCGGUUGUAAUGACAUUGUUGUUCAUUGCAAAACAAAGCAACACAUCACUGCUUUCCAGUCUGAAUUGUCAGCAUGAGAAAUAACAUCAUGGAUGUCAACCUCCAAGGAUUUUAAUAUAACUAGAGCUGAGUGCUUAUUUACAUCAUUUUAUUUGGAGCACAAUAUUUCUCUAUCAGCUGCAAGUCACAGACAAUGCAUCAGUCAUGACUGGUGUACACAAGGAAAUCGGGGCAUGCCUCGGAAAGUGUCAGCCAAACCACAAUGUGCUUGGUUGCCCCAAUCAUCUAAUUGAUCUUGCUGCCACAGCUGUGUCAUCUGCAUUACCAUAAACAUAUUCAAUUGACUCGCUCCUUAUUGAUGUGUUCUACUUUCUGGAAGCCAGCGUAAACAGGAAAUUGAAUCUCAAAAAGUGCAGGCAAUUCUGAAACAUGCUUGUACGAGAUGGCUGAGCUAUGGGCCAAUGCUUGCCAAGAUUUAUCCAGCAAUGGCAAGCUCUAGUCCUCUUUUUUGAAGGAGAAGUGUCAGCCCAGCAGAAGACGCCUACUCAACAGAUAAAGUAGAAGAAGCCUACUCAACAGACCAAGGCUACCAAGAAUAGUGUCCAGACUUCACUUGUUCCAAAGAAGCCAACCCCAGCUGUGAAAAAUAAACCUGCUCAGGGAUCUCAACUAAAGGAAAAGCCUGCUCACCAAACCAAGAUGACUGCACAACUCCAAGCAUUCUGCAUUCCCAAGAAGGUGUCUCCACAGAUCCACCACAUGUGAGCAAACCUGCCCAGUCUCAGACCCAAGUUCAACUUCAAGCACCACAGCCACAACACAGUAGACCAUCUUCAAGCUGUACUACUCGGGGAAAAAUGACAAGUGAGGGACACUUCGGAUACACCUAGCAAGAAGCAGAAUACUGGGAAAGUUGUCGGCAAGGCAACAGGCUCAACAGUCCUCAAGGCUGAAACUUCCAGUCAUCCCAGUACGAUUUCUAGUAAAAUGACUGGAAAUGAA
Molecule: long non-coding RNA, 1634 nt
Filed under: Strongylocentrotus purpuratus (purple sea urchin)
Lineage: Eukaryota; Metazoa; Echinodermata; Echinoidea; Camarodonta; Strongylocentrotidae
Description: uncharacterized LOC105445316
Source: RNAcentral